This 568-nucleotide ribosomal RNA is filed under the name uncultured bacterium. RNAcentral describes it as "partial 16S ribosomal RNA". It matches the Rfam family "Bacterial small subunit ribosomal RNA", at positions 355 to 937 of the family's 1533-position model. The record is from RNAcentral.
UGGGGAAUAUUGCACAAUGGGCGCAAGCCUGAUGCAGCAACGCCGCGUGAGGGAUGACGGCCUUCGGGUUGUAAAACCUCUUUUAGCAGGGAAGAAGCGAAAGUGACGGUACCUGCAGAAAAAGCACCGGCUAACUACGUGCCAGCAGCCGCGGUAAUACGUAGGGUGCAAGCGUUGUCCGGAAUUAUUGGGCGUAAAGAGCUCGUAGGCGGUCUGUCGCGUCUGCUGUGAAAUCCCGAGGCUCAACCUCGGGCCUGCAGUGGGUACGGGCAGACUAGAGUGCGGUAGGGGAGAAUGGAACUCCUGGUGUAGCGGUGGAAUGCGCAGAUAUCAGGAAGAACACCGAUGGCGAAGGCAGUUCUCUGGGCCGUAACUGACGCUGAGGAGCGAAAGCGUGGGGAGCGAACAGGAUUAGAUACCCUGGUAGUCCACGCCGUAAACGUUGGGCGCUAGAUGUGGGGACCAUUCCACGGUUUCCGUGUCGCAGCUAACGCAUUAAGCGCCCCGCCUGGGGAGUACGGCCGCAAGGCUAAAACUCAAAUGAAUUGACGGGGUCAUAGCUGUUCCU